This 497-nucleotide ribosomal RNA is filed under the name uncultured bacterium. Its description in RNAcentral is "partial 16S ribosomal RNA". It matches the Rfam family "Bacterial small subunit ribosomal RNA", at positions 28 to 507 of the family's 1533-position model. The record is from RNAcentral.
GAUGAACGCUGGCGGCGUGCCUAAUACAUGCAGGUCGAGCGAACGGACGAGAAGCUUGCUUCUCUGAUAUUAGCGGCGGACGGGUGAGUAACACGUGGAUAACCUACCUAUAAGACUGGGAUAACUUCGGGAAACCGGAGCUAAUACCGGAUAAUAUUUUGAACCGCAUGGUUCAAAAGUGAAAGACGGUCUUGCUGUCACUUAUAGAUGGAUCCGCGCUGCAUUAGCUAGUUGGUAAGGUAACGGCUUACCAAGGCAACGAUGCAUAGCCGACCUGAGAGGGUGAUCGGCCACACUGGAACUGAGACACGGUCCAGACUCCUACGGGAGGCAGCAGUAGGGAAUCUUCCGCAAUGGGCGAAAGCCUGACGGAGCAACGCCGCGUGAGUGAUGAAGGUCUUCGGAUCGUAAAACUCUGUUAUUAGGGAAGAACAUAUGUGUAAGUAACUGUGCACAUCUUGACGGUACCUAAUCAGAAAGCCACGGCUAACUACGUG